RNAcentral lists this ribosomal RNA (1303 nucleotides) under metagenome. Its description in RNAcentral is "SSU rRNA". It matches the Rfam family "Eukaryotic small subunit ribosomal RNA", at positions 488 to 1823 of the family's 1831-position model. The record is from RNAcentral.
GUUCUCUAAGAGGCCCGCUAUCGGAAUGGGUACAAUUUAAACCCUUUAACGAGGACCUAUGAGAGGGCAAGUCUGGUGCCAGCAGCCGCGGUAAUUCCAGCUCUCAAGGUGUAUAUCGCCAUUGCUGCGGUUAAAAAGCUCGUAGUUGGAUCUGCGCCUUCGGACUCGGUCCUCCCAACGGGUGCGAACUGAGCUCCAAGGCUACUACUGCUGGUUUUCCCUUGAUGCUCUUCACUGGGUGUCUUGGGUGGCUAGCGAGUUUACUUUGAAAAAAUUAGAGUGCUCAAAACAGGCUAUUGCCUGAAUACCGGUGCAUGGAAUAAUAGAAUAGGAUCUCGGUCCUAUUUUGUUGGUUUUCGGAACUGAGAUAAUGGUUAAGAGGGACAGACGGGGGCAUUCGUAUCGCUGCGUGAGAGGUGAAAUUCUUGGACCGCAGCGAGACGCCCAACUGCGAAAGCAUUUGCCAAGAAUGUCUUCGUUAAUCAAGAACGAAAGUCAGAGGUUCGAAGGCGAUCAGAUACCGCCCUAGUUCUGGCCGUAAACGAUGCCAACUAGCGAUCCGCCGGUGGUAAUUACGCCCCGGCGGGGAGCUUCCCGGAAACGAAAGUCUUCCGGUUCCGGGGGAAGUAUGGUUGCAAAGCUGAAACUUAAAGGAAUUGACGGAAGGGCACCACCAGGAGUGGAGCUUGCGGCUUAAUUUGACACAACACGGGAAAACUCACCCGGCCCGGACACCGUAAGGAUUGACAGAUUGAGAGCUCUUUCUUGAUUCGGUGGUUGGUGGUGCAUGGCCGUUCUUAGUUGGUGGAGCGAUUUGUCUGGUUUAUUCCGAUAACGAACGAGACUCUGGCCUACUAACUAGUGACAGAAUUAUUGCUGUUCUGGUUACUUCUUAGAGGGACAAGUGGUGUUCAGCCACACGAAAUUGAGCAAUAACAGGUCUGUGAUGCCCUUAGAUGUCCGGGGCUGCACGCGUGCUACACUGGAGGAAACAGCAUGCAAAACCAUUGCCGAGAGGCAUUGGUAAACCCAAGAAAAUCUUCCGUGAUCGGGAUCGGGAAUUGCAAUUAUUUCCCUUGAACGAGGAAUUCCCAGUAAGUGUGGGUCAUCAGCUCGCGCUGAUUACGUCCCUGCCCUUUGUACACACCGCCCGUCGCUGCCCGGGACUGAGCCGUUUCGAGAAAAGCGGGGACUGCUGCUGUCGGGGCUUUCGGGCCUUGGCUUCGGUGGAAACCGCUUUAAUCGCAGUGGCUUGAACCGGGCAAAAGUCGUAACAAGGUUUCCGUAGGUGAACCUGCGGAAG